RNAcentral lists this ribosomal RNA (394 nucleotides) under uncultured Funneliformis. RNAcentral describes it as "partial 28S ribosomal RNA". Lineage: Eukaryota; Fungi; Glomeromycota; Glomeromycetes; Glomerales; Glomeraceae. The record is from RNAcentral.
GUGAAAUUGUUGAAAGGGAAACGAUUAAAGUCAGUCAUACCUUUGAAAAUUCAACAUUUGAAAUGUUGUUGAAUUUGUGGUCAUUUAUGGUUUGCAAAUUUAAUAACUUUUUAUGUGCGAACUUUUUCAAGUGGUAGGUCAACAUCGGUUUUAAUCAUUAUAAAAUGGUUGAAGGAAUGUAACUUUGAUUUCGAUCGAGGUGUUAUAGCCUUUGGCAGAUAUAAUGAUCAAGAUCGAGGAUUGCAAUGGAUACCCAUUUAUUUGGGCUCUUCGUCUGAUCUCUGAUACGUUAUCUUGGUAUCAAAAGCUUUGCUUAUGAUAUUAAGGUUUACAGAUCAAAAGGUUAGAACGGAUUAAAUUCAUUAAGGAUGUUGACGUAAUGGCUUUAAACGAC